GUGACAAAGGCUAGAUAGGCUGAGUGAGAGGAGAUAGGGAGGGAGUGUUGACAGCGGCAUGGAGAAGAAAAUGAGAGAGAAGGAGAGGAGGUUGCAAAAAUGCUGUGCCUUUAAGGCAGCAAGCCCCUCCUACAUGGAGCCGAGCAGAGGAGCCGAGUGAUGCUGGCAGGAGCCCGAGCUUCUCGAUAAACUCUGGCAUCAGCUUCCCUUCAUCCGGCACUUCAUCCUCCACUUCUACUCCUUCUCUGAUGAGCCACAACCUCAGAGUGAAAUAACCCUGCUGAUAGAAGCUUCUCUCUCUGUCAAGACAGUGCCAUGCGUGAUUGGCCAGCACACCCUGUGGCAGUGGCAUUGCCCGGGAUUGAGCGCGAAGCUCUCCCUCCUGCUCGCUCUCUGGAGCUCCUCUGGGAAGCUUUCCUGGGAUUUAUCUUGUGCUGCCGGAUGGCACGAGGCUCUCUGCCUCUCUGAGAACGGUCCCCAGAAAAAACACUCUCUAUACGGAUAAGAAGUAAAAUAAUUAUCCAAUCACAGCACAAGCAGGCAGACUGGGUUCCCUUAGCAACAACUGAAGGAGACAAGUGAUUUUUUUUCUCUCUCUUUCUGCUAUUCUGGUUUUUGGGCACACCCCUGUGGACUGCUGUGGGUCAGCGUUCUGUGAGAGGACUUGAAGAGCGAUGGUGCAAAAGCCAAGCUCCCAUCAAAAUUCCAAAGGAGGGUGCUCAUCUGCGUUCCAGGCUCCUUGUUACUGUGUCUCGCUGACAACAUGAUUUGGGGUUUUUUUGUUAUCCCUCCACAAAUUCCCUUCACCAAGUCACAUUCUGCUGGCUUUGAAAUCAAUUCAUCCUGAUCCCACGCCACCUGGAAUGAGCUCUGCAUUCAGGAGAGAGAUUGGAAAAAAAGAAAAAAGCUCACACCUACUCUCUUGCCUUUUGUGGACAAGAAUACAAGGACAGCGCGAUUAGCCUUUCGCCAGCAAUGAAAAUGGAUGUGAAGGAAAGUUUAUUUUAACAAGAAGUUUUUUUCAAGAGGAAGAAAUAAAACGGGGCACAGAGGAAUAUCUUUUUUUUUUCAGAGAAGAUCUGUCCUUUCUCUCUUGCAGACACUAGCCCUCACUGAGGGACUUAAUUUAAAAGGCAAAUCUUGUCCCCACUGGCCAUCAAUAGAUUAGCAAAAAUUUCAAAGUGAGCUGUUGAUGUGGGUUUUAUUUUUCCAGGUAGUUUAAGAUUAACCCACUAUUAAAAAAAGGUUGUUUUUUUGUGUUCCCAGUUUUGUAGGUUAGUCUACAAAUAUGUCACUGUGUUGAAGUGAAAAAGAUUCAAGUGGACAAGGGGAAUGGGGAAUAAGUCUCCCUGUAUAGACAGGUGUUUUAAAAUAGCUGGGACAGUUUUAAAUGUACAUGCUGACAUGAGAUGAGUUUGUUUAACACGAUUAUGUAAGAAAUCUCCAAACAGCGUCAGCUCACAUUUUCUGCUUCCCUUUUUUUUGUCCAUGGAUUUUAAGUGUGGGACUUUUCUGAUGUUGAUACUCCCUUCAAUUUUGGAAGCGUCUACCCGAAAGGAUGGAUGUCAGAGUGUGACCCUGUGCCAAGUGUGCGGGCGAGGCAAGGUAAUUUGGCUGCCCAGGUGCUUUUAAGAUGUUGAUGUCUCCCUGUGUGGCCGGGGCCCCUGUUCGGAUCAGUAGCGCUGAGGCUCAUUGCAGCCAAAGACAUGGACCCCGACUCGGCUCCCCCACGCCCUCAGCCUGUUGGCCACUGGC
Long non-coding RNA from Oryzias sinensis (Chinese medaka), 1755 nucleotides. Lineage: Eukaryota; Metazoa; Chordata; Actinopteri; Beloniformes; Adrianichthyidae. The record is from Ensembl.